This 448-nucleotide ribosomal RNA is filed under the name uncultured bacterium. Its description in RNAcentral is "SSU rRNA". It matches the Rfam family "Bacterial small subunit ribosomal RNA", at positions 26 to 518 of the family's 1533-position model. The record is from RNAcentral.
AGAGCGAACGCUGGCGGCAGGCCUAACACAUGCAAGUCGAGCGCCCGUAGCAAUACGGGAGCGGCAGACGGGAUAGUAACACGUGGGAACGCGCCCUUCGGUUCGGAAUAACUCAGGGAAACUUGAGCUAAUACCGAAUACGCCCUUACGGGGAAAGAUUUAUUGCCGAAGGAACGGCCCGCGUCCGAUUAGCUAGUUGGUGAGGUAAUGGCUCACCAAGGCUACGAUCGGUAGCUGGUCUGAGAGGAUGACCAGCAUCACUGGGACUGAGACACGGCCCAGACUCCUACGGGAGGCAGCAGUGGGGAAUAUUGGACAAUGGGCGAAAGCCUGAUCCAGCCAUGCCGCGUGGAUGAUGAAGGCCUUAGGGUUGUAAAGUCCUUUUAACGGGGAAGAUAAUGACGGUACCGUAGAAUAAGCCCCGGCUAACUUCGUCGCCAGCAGCCGC